UGCAAGAGGGGCCGCUGCAUCUUUCCAGCCCUGCUCAGUUCUUACUGGGGGGGUUAUCUUCUAUUGGCUUCCCGGCCGGCUUGGCUGGAGGGAGCAGUGAAGGGUCUGGCGAGACUUCGGAGCAUCAAGGGAGGUUCUCGCGGCGGGGGGAGGGAAGAGAUUGGCGUGGCAAUCAGACUGUUGCCCCCCUUUCCCCACCUGCAGUGUGAAAGUAAAAUUGGCUGGAAACAGAAGUGAAACCGACCAGUCUGUUUUCACUCUACCAGGUACAGCAUGGGGAACUGCACAGCCGGCUUCCCCCACAGCACAUCACCAAUAUGUCUCUCCCCAUAACUGGAGUAGAGAUAGGAGAAUCCAGACUCUGGAGUCCAUUCGUUCCUUGGCCUCUCUCCUGACACUGCCAAUGCGGAGGCCAACGGCAGUGCCAGGUUCUGUGGAAUCGACUGAGAAACCACCGAAUAAUCGUUUGACGGUCCUAUCUUCGCUAUACCUAGAACCUCGGUUGUUUCCUGGGGCCCAUGUGCUGCAGCUCAUCUCCAGCAGGAGGUGCCGUGCUCAGUGGGUAACACAAUGAGGUCAUCUGCAUAGGGAAGACAGUCCCAGAUUUGGGGCACAGAAGGGGAUAACACAGGCCUGUCGCCGCUGGAUGCAUGAGAAGCAUGAGGAAGAAGCUGCAGCCCAGCUCUUCUCCCCUCUCUUGUUUGAAGACGCUGGUUUGCACAAUGUCUGUUUACAUCCUGCUGACAGGCAGGGACACGGAUUCAGCUUUGCCCUGAAAUCCACAUUGCAGGACUUCAGAGGGCAGCUUGGCUGGGGGCAGCCCUACACGUCCGCCUUCACUCUGGGAGACAGAUGGAGAGUUUCCUUCUCCUUUGCUUUUGUUUUCUGGGUGCUCCUCAAUAAGUGUCUCUGGGUUGUAGAUGUCUUGUCCUGCCGCCACCUCUGUCAUUACUCGGGUCCACUCAGGUCCUUUCCCAGUGUAACCGCUCCCCCGAGGCGGGUCCAGAGAAGUGUCUGAAUUGGACCUGCCUUGUCUUGGGUUGUGCCAGCCCCUGUCCCAUCCUUCCUCCAGGCUGCAGCGCUUUCUGCAGGUUCGUUGUCCCCGCCCCAUCCCCCACCUUUCUCCCCUCCCCCUGAUACCUUAGCUUUCCCGGGUUCUCAGGGCCCCAAUCCCUUUCCCCUGCUCCUGACUCCAGGGAGCCCCAUCCUUGAGCUGGCGAUGGGAGAGGAGCAGCUCUCUGCUGCCCACUAGUGCCAGCAGCUGGAACUCCCAGCUGGCAGGGGUUUGGGUUGCAGCGCGUCCUUUCACACAUAUCUGCAGGGCAGCCUUUCCUCACACACCCCAAAAGGAUCUCCAGGAGCUAACUCCUUCGGGGUGGGGGGAUCCUGGGAGCUAAUCCUGAAAGCUCCAGGCACGCAGCAUUGCAAGGAUCCCCAGUGGCUGCUCUGGGGGAGUCACACAAGCCCCCGUUCCAGGAGCAGCUGCUGUGGAUGUUACCGUGGCGCCUGCAUCCCAAAGCCCUUCCUGUCGUCGAGCCGAUCCGGCUGCAUCCGUACCUGGUGAUGGGAACACGCGGCUGGGGACGGGCCAUUUAUUUCCGUCUCUCAGAGCAGCCAUCUGGCCUGGCUUGUGAGAUGACGGGAAGCCGAGGUCCCGGCUACUUGUGGCCAUGACAGAUCCCAUAGCGCUUCCCACACACAGAAUGGGGUCUGCCCUAGCCUGAGACCCUCUGCCUCCCGCACUCUCCUCUGCUUUCCCCAAUGGCUGCGGGGCCCUUUGCAGCAGCCGGGGGGGGCAGACACUGGUAAGCCUCUGCAUGUUCCACGCCAGGGGGGCUGAUGACGCAAUCUUACCUACCUCCCUGCUGGCAAGGAGCAUACGUACUGGUAGUUGCUGGAUGUUUCUGCCCACUGGCCCGUUUGUUUCGCCUGUGGAGCCCUGCUGGCCCCCUGCCCGUGUCUCUUGUCCUCCCUCCGGGUCUCCCCCCAGCCCCAUGGCUGCGCUGACAUGCUCUCCCUCAGCGGUUGCAGCCUCAAACCAGCCUUAAUUCCAUGCUGUCCCUACGGGGCCCUGAUUGGCAGCUGCCCUCCAGCGGGCUAGGGCACCGUCACAGAGACAGGUUGGGGGCCAGCAGGGGGGCUGGCUCCUAAGCUGCACUGAGUUGAAUUCGAGGCCUGCCUGCAGGAGGGGGCGACUCCAGGACAAGAACCCUUUGCAGCAGUCCUUGGCUUAGUGCAGCUCCCGGGCCCCUGGGGCCAUUCUGGUGGGAUGAGAGUUGGAAGGGGGGGGGGGUGCGGGUCACACCCCACCAGCUGGACGUUCCCUGACCUGCAGCCCAAUGCAAAUUGCAGGCAGCUCUUGAGACAAGGGGUCGACGAGGUGCUGGGUGGGGGGGAAAGGCUGGAGAGAGCCCCCGCCCCCCCCCAGGGUGGGACGUGGGGGACACGCUCCCUUCAUUUCCCUGCCCUUUGGGCCCCCAUCUGCCAGUGCCUGCUCUUGUGAGCCUGCAUGGCCUGGGAGGGCUCUGGGGUGGUGCGUCUGAGGGCUGAAGGGUCUGUGGGGGAGGUGGCCCAAUGCGGGGG
Molecule: long non-coding RNA, 2583 nt
Organism: Chelonia mydas (Green sea turtle)
Lineage: Eukaryota; Metazoa; Chordata; Testudines; Cheloniidae
Exons: 3
Source: RefSeq, a predicted model, not a curated record